This 628-nucleotide long non-coding RNA is filed under the name Marmota monax (woodchuck). The record is from RNAcentral. Lineage: Eukaryota; Metazoa; Chordata; Mammalia; Rodentia; Sciuridae.
CGGGGCAGCAGCGGGUCAGUCCUGAAGGUGGGCUGGGCCUGCCCGCCGCGCGGACCUCUGGACGGGACCCUGCCCACAGGGGACUUCGCGGCCCUGCUGCACGCGGGGCUGUCGGUGCGCCGUGCGCUGCUGCUGAACCUGGCCUCGGCUCUCACGGCCUUUGCCGGCCUCUACGUGGCGCUUGCAGUCGGAGUCGGCGAGGAGAGCGAGGCCUGGAUCCUGGCAGUAGCCACAGGCCUCUUCCUCUACGUGGCGCUCUGUGACAUGGUCAGGGGGCAGCCGGGAGCCUGGGGUGGGGAGCUGAGAAGGUGCCUAAGCCGCCCACUAACCCAGUGCCCCCUCCUCAGCUCCCGGCCAUGCUCAAUGUGCGGGACCGCAGGCCCUGGCUCCUCUUCCUGCUGCACCAUGUGGGCCUGCUGGGCGGCUGGACCGUCCUGCUGCUGCUGUCACUGUACGAGGACAAUAUCACCCUUUAAUAAUCCUGCCCCUGUCUACAGCUGUUGACUCUGCCCCUGACCAGGGCUCCUCAUACCUUUGGAUGGGCUCAGCAGCCAGAGAACCCCAGGGCCUCGAGAGUCCCCUUCUCCCUCCCCAGGUUUGGAGCCCCUAUUUCAAUAAAGACAGCCUU